RNAcentral lists this ribosomal RNA (497 nucleotides) under uncultured bacterium. RNAcentral's name for it is "partial 16S ribosomal RNA". It matches the Rfam family "Bacterial small subunit ribosomal RNA", at positions 28 to 507 of the family's 1533-position model. The record is from RNAcentral.
GAUGAACGCUGGCGGCGUGCCUAACACAUGCAAGUCGAGCGAACGGACGAGAAGCUUGCUUCUCUGAUGUUAGCGGCGGACGGGUGAUUAACACGUGGAUAACCUACCUCUACGACUGGGAUAACUUCGCCAAACCGUAGCUACUACCGGAUAAUAUUUUGAACCUCAUGGUUCAAAAGUUAAAUACGGUCUUUCUGUCACUUAUAGAUUAACACGGGCUGCAUUAGCUAGUUGGUAAGGUAACUGCUUACCCAGGCAACGAUGCAUAGCCGACCUAAGAGGGUGAUUGCCAAGCCUGGAACUGAGAAACGGUACCGACUCCUACGGUAGGCAGCAGUAGGGAAUCUUCCGCGAUGGAGGAGAGCCUGACGGAGCAACGCCGCGUGAGUGAUGAAGGUCCUCGGAUCGUAAAACUCUGUUAUUAGGGAAGAACAUAUGUGUAAGUAACUGUGCACAUCUUGACGGUACCUAAUCAGAAAGCCACGGCUAACUACGUG